GAGGGUAUAGUUCAAGUGGUAGAGCGCAUGCUUAGCAUACAUGAGGUCCUGGGUUCAACCCCCAGAACCCCCU
This 73-nucleotide transfer RNA is filed under the name Camelus ferus (Wild Bactrian camel). It matches the Rfam family "tRNA". From Rfam's summary of the family: Transfer RNA (tRNA) molecules are approximately 80 nucleotides in length. Their secondary structure includes four short double-helical elements and three loops (D, anti-codon, and T loops). The record is from Rfam by way of RNAcentral. Lineage: Eukaryota; Metazoa; Chordata; Mammalia; Artiodactyla; Camelidae.